CCUUUCUUUCUCUCUCUAACUUCUCUCUAGCCUCCCUAAACCCCUCCCAAGUCUACGGAACCUCCCUAGCACGAGAAGAGAGCCCCGGAGCGCCCGACGGCUCCGAGAAGAAAAGCUUUCGGCUCGGAAACGCUGCUCCAGCGAAGCCCGGUUUUUAAUAAAAACCCGCUGUAAGUGAGCUACGCCUAUAGUAUAUUUAAUAUAGAUUUUAUUUAAUUAUAGUAACAUUGUUAGGACCUUAAAAUAAUUAUUUAGGCUAUUAUUAUGAGUUAUAUUGAGUGUUAUUUAACGCUUAUAUAAUAGUAAUAAUAGCUAGACUAUUAAAUUAGUCUCGUCAAGCGUUAGACUAAACUCUAGUGGUAAUGAUACUAGGUUUCGUCAAGGGAUAAUUGUUUUAAGAGUAACGAAGUGCUGUCCGAGUGCCGACUCACCACCUUUCAAGUGAGUGCAUAGUCCCUUUCAUCUUACACAUAGAUAUGAAGUAUUUUAUAUAAACUACGUGCUAUGUGUGCACAUUAUCUGAAUACUUGCUGUCUAUGCUGGUUGAACGUUUUAUACAUGUUUUAAAGGACUUAAACUGUAUACGUAUUUUAUAUAUACGAAAAUGUUGGGUAUGAGAUGGGUAGAUGAAUGAUGAGAGAUAGAAGAUGACGUGAGUAUACAUUGGCAGCUAUAGACUUAGUGCCUAUGGGACAAACACCGGUAGCUAUGGACUUAGUACCUUUUAGACGUUGGUAGCUAUGGAUUUAGUACCUGUUGGGAAUUGGUAGCUAUGGACUUAGUACCUAUUAGUUAGACGCUGGUAGCUAAGGAUUUAGUACCUGUAGGAAUUGGUAGCUAUGGACUUAGUACCUGUUGAACAUUGGUAGCUAUGGACUUAGUACCUAUUAGAUAAAGACUGGUAGCUAUGGAUUUAGUACCCGAUGAAUAGACUAUAGCAGCUAUGGAAUUAGUGCUUUAUGAACGAACAUUGGCAGCUAUGGAUUUAGUGCCAGUCCCAUAACCCUGGAAGUAAGGGACUUCGGAAUAAACGAAUGCAGGAUAGAUGACUCUUAGGUUAAAUCCUUAAAGAGUAAAGAAGAUAAUGGGGAUGGGUAAUUGGGUUGAUUGUUUGAUUGAACAUAAUAAUUAUAUUAUUGUGGGUUGAAAACCCUAUGUACUCACCAGGUUUCCCAACCUGACCCACUCAGUUUAUGUAUAUCACAGGUGACGAAGUGAAGUGACAUUACACUGAGAGAUUUAAAAGAGAUGUAGAUCACUAGUGUAAAUCAUUGUAAGUUCUGUUUAUGCUUAUGUUUCGGUAUUAACGAUGACAUCCCAAACAUUUUAAAAUGAAAUAAAUACGUUUCUUCAAAAAUGUUUUAAUAACGUAUUUACCAUGUUUUUCUGGGAACAAAUUCCGCAACCUUUUUAUAAAAUGAAGUACUCUGAUUUUUAUAAAGCAUAAACAAAAUCGGUCU
RNAcentral lists this long non-coding RNA (1460 nucleotides) under Lactuca sativa (garden lettuce). Its description in RNAcentral is "long non-coding RNA (LSAT_LNC001500)". Lineage: Eukaryota; Viridiplantae; Streptophyta; Magnoliopsida; Asterales; Asteraceae. The record is from RNAcentral.